This 511-nucleotide unclassified non-coding RNA is filed under the name Hevea brasiliensis (rubber tree). The record is from RNAcentral. Lineage: Eukaryota; Viridiplantae; Streptophyta; Magnoliopsida; Malpighiales; Euphorbiaceae.
GCCCCCUUCCCCUCCGAACAUUCACGCCAUGGCUCCGCCGCAGCCAAAGUCCGGCAUCUUCGUCGGGAUCAACAGCGGCCACAUCGUCACCAAGCGCGAACUCGCUCCUCGCCCCUCCAGCAGGAAAGGGAAAACGAGCAAGAGAGUGCACUUUGUGAAGAAUUUGAUCAGGGAGGUGGCUGGAUUUGCGCCGUAUGAGAAGAGGAUUACUGAGCUGCUUAAGGUUGGCAAGGACAAGCGGGCGCUCAAGGUGGCGAAGAGAAAGUUGGGUACUCACAAGAGGGCUAAGAAGAAGAGAGAGGAGAUGGCUAAUGUCCUCAGGAAGAUGAGGUCUGCUGGAGUGUCCGAUAAGAAGAAAUGAUGAGGAGAGACUACUUGUGGACUGUUUUCAUAUUUCGGUUAGCAUUAUGUUUCUCUUGAACUGGGAACCUAUCUGUAGAACUAGUUUAAUUUUGUUGUUUUUUUUAUGCGUGAAAGGAUCUCCUUUUCUUGUUUGAAUAGUUGUGUUGGG